RNAcentral lists this transfer RNA (77 nucleotides) under Clostridia bacterium. RNAcentral describes it as "tRNA-Met". It matches the Rfam family "tRNA". From Rfam's summary of the family: Transfer RNA (tRNA) molecules are approximately 80 nucleotides in length. Their secondary structure includes four short double-helical elements and three loops (D, anti-codon, and T loops). The record is from RNAcentral. Lineage: Bacteria; Bacillati; Bacillota; Clostridia.
AGCAGAUGUAGAGAAACGGUAAUCUCGCUAGUUUCAUACGCUAGAAAAAACAGGUUCAACUCCUGUCUCUGCUUCCA